AGCGAACGCUGGCGGCAGGCCUAACACAUGCCAGUCGAACGGACCUUUCGGGGUUAGUGGCGGACGGGUGAGUAACACGUGGGAACGUGCCUUUAGGUUCGGAAUAGCUCCUGGAAACGGGUGGUAAUGCCGAAUGUGCCCUUCGGGGGAAAGAUUUAUCGCCUUUAGAGCGGCCCGCGUCUGAUUAGCUAGUUGGUUGAGGUAACGGCUCACCAAGGCGACGAUCAGUAGCUGGUCUGAGAGGAUGGCCAGCCACAUUGGGACUGAGACACGGCCCAAACUCCUACGGGAGGCAGCAGUGGGGAAUCUUGCGCAAUGGGCGAAAGCCUGACGCAGCCAUGCCGCGUGAAUGAUGAAGGUCUUAGGAUUGUAAAAUUCUUUCACCGGGGACGAUAAUGACGGUACCCGGAGAAGAAGCCCCGGCUAACUUCGUG
This 434-nucleotide ribosomal RNA is filed under the name uncultured bacterium. Its description in RNAcentral is "partial 16S ribosomal RNA". It matches the Rfam family "Bacterial small subunit ribosomal RNA", at positions 29 to 507 of the family's 1533-position model. The record is from RNAcentral.